CUUAAGGUCCAAAGAAUUGGUUGAUGGUUUCGGCCCAUUAGUUGAGGUUUGUCCUCCCUUAAGA
Molecule: transfer RNA, 64 nt
Filed under: Eurylepta cornuta
Lineage: Eukaryota; Metazoa; Platyhelminthes; Polycladida; Euryleptidae
Description: tRNA-Arg
Source: RNAcentral